This 264-nucleotide ribosomal RNA is filed under the name Enterococcus sp. UepopsAT1-7.505. RNAcentral describes it as "partial 16S ribosomal RNA". It matches the Rfam family "Bacterial small subunit ribosomal RNA", at positions 380 to 638 of the family's 1533-position model. The record is from RNAcentral. Lineage: Bacteria; Bacillati; Bacillota; Bacilli; Lactobacillales; Enterococcaceae.
ANUCUGCCCGAGCANCGCCGCGUGAGUGAAGAAGGUUUUCGGAUCGUAAAACUCUGUUGUUGUAGAAGAACAAGGAUGAGAGUAGAAUGUUCAUCCCUUGACGGUAUCUAACCAGAAAGCCACGGCUAACUACGUGCCAGCAGCCGCGGUAAUACGUAGGUGGCAAGCGUUGUCCGGAUUUAUUGGGCGGGAANCGAGCGCAGGCGGUUUCUUAAGUUUUUUUCUNAAAGCCNGNNGNCUCAANCCGGGGAGGGUNCAUUUGGA